AUACGGAGGGUGCAAGCGUCACUCGGAAUCACUGGGCGUAAAGCGCGCGCAGGCGGCUAUUUAAGUUGGAUGUGAAAGCCUACGGCUCAACCGUAGAACUGCAUCCAAAACUAUUUAGCUAGAGUGUGGGAGAGGAAGAUGGAAUUAGUUGUGUAGGGGUAAAAUCCGUAGAGAUAACUAGGAAUACCAAAAGCGAAGGCAAUCUUCUGGAACACUACUGACGCUGAGGCGCGAAAGCGUGGGGAGCAAACAGGAUUAGAUACCCUAGUAGUCC
Molecule: ribosomal RNA, 274 nt
Filed under: uncultured bacterium
Lineage: Bacteria
Description: partial 16S ribosomal RNA
Rfam family: Bacterial small subunit ribosomal RNA
Source: RNAcentral